UACGGAGGGGGCUAGCGUUGUUCGGAAUUACUGGGCGUAAAGCGCACGUAGGCGGCUUGGUAAGUUAGAGGUGAAAGCCCAGGGCUCAACCCUGGAAUUGCCUUUAAGACUGCCGAGCUAGUAGGUGAGAGAGGUGAGUGGAAUUCCGAGUGUAGAGGUGAAAUUCGUAGAUAUUCGGAAGAACACCAGUGGCGAAGGCGGCUCACUGGCUCAUUCUAGACGCUGAGGUGCGAAAGCGUGGGGAG
RNAcentral lists this ribosomal RNA (245 nucleotides) under uncultured Sphingomonas sp. RNAcentral's name for it is "partial 16S ribosomal RNA". It matches the Rfam family "Bacterial small subunit ribosomal RNA", at positions 524 to 768 of the family's 1533-position model. The record is from RNAcentral. Lineage: Bacteria; Pseudomonadati; Pseudomonadota; Alphaproteobacteria; Sphingomonadales; Sphingomonadaceae.